This 494-nucleotide ribosomal RNA is filed under the name uncultured bacterium. Its description in RNAcentral is "partial 16S ribosomal RNA". It matches the Rfam family "Bacterial small subunit ribosomal RNA", at positions 28 to 507 of the family's 1533-position model. The record is from RNAcentral.
GAUGAACGCUGGCGGCGUGCCUAAUACAUGCAAGUCGAACGAACAGACCUGCUUUUUCCUGCUCAGACCGUGUACUCGAGCGGCGAAGGGACACGUGGCUAGCCUAUCUUUUGGACUCAACUAGCUUCUAGAAACCGGAGCCAAGACCGGAUACCAGAUAGAACUGCAUGGUUGAGUAUGGGAUGGAGAACGGUCUUUCACUGGUAGGUGAUGAGCUCGCGGCCUAUCUGCUUGUUGGUGGGGUAAUGGACCACCACGGUGGCGACGGGCAGCCGGCAUGAGAGGGUGGACGGCCACAUUGGGACUGGGAUACGGCCCAGACUCCUACGGGAGGCAGCAGUGGGGAAGAUUGCACAAUGGGCGGAAGCCUGAUGCAGCGACGCAGCGUGGGGGAUGACGGCCUUCGGGUUGUAAACUCCUUUCGACCGCGAGGAAGCCACCUGGUUGGAAGGGUGGUGACGGUAGUGGUAGAAGAAGCACCGGCUAACUACGUG